CUGCGGGAGAGGGGGAAAGGGCAGUUGUUGUUUGAUGGGUUCAUAGUUUGUUUUGCAAAACGCGAAAUAGAAGUUCUGGAGAUUGGCGCCGCAACAACGCGAAUGCACUUGACACUGCUGAACUGUACAGCUAAAAAUGGUGACGAUGGUAAGUUUCAUUUCACCACAACUGGAAAAUAAAAAAAUAAAAAAGGAGCUCUACCAGGAAUUCAUUAACCAGGCACAUGUUCUGCAGGAUGUGCCUGUACUUCCUUUCACUGCUGGGGCAAACCCAGGGCUGGACGACGGGAUAAUGCCAAGUCACUGUGCUACCCUGACAGCUCGUCAAGAAGUAGACAGAAGGCUAUUUUCAAUGUCCUGGCUGAAAGGGUUCUUGUUGCCAUGACGCUGGAAGAAAAAAAGCACAAAGAUUUGAGAAUGGAAAAAAAGAUGGUACAAAAUGAAGCCUGCC
Molecule: long non-coding RNA, 451 nt
Organism: Camelus dromedarius (Arabian camel)
Lineage: Eukaryota; Metazoa; Chordata; Mammalia; Artiodactyla; Camelidae
Exons: 3
Source: RefSeq, a predicted model, not a curated record